GGGUGCGAUUAUACCAGCACUAAUGCAUCGGAUCCCAUCAGAACUCCGAAGUUAAACGUGCUUGGGCGAGAGUAGUGCUAAGAUGGGUGACCUCUUGCGAAGUACUCGUGUUGCACCCC
This 119-nucleotide ribosomal RNA is filed under the name Ricinus communis (castor bean). Lineage: Eukaryota; Viridiplantae; Streptophyta; Magnoliopsida; Malpighiales; Euphorbiaceae. The record is from RNAcentral.